GAUUGUGUUAUAAAGGUAGCACAAUAAUGGCCGCAGUUAUGUGCCGAAGUUCUCGUGCCCACCAGAGAUUUCGUCAAAUAGUAAAUAGAAUCGUCGAUAAUAGCAUCUUUGUGAAAUUCCCUUCUUCUCCAGUGUCCUGUCUCUGUGCCUACUGCAGAAAAAGAUAAACUUGUUCGCUAACUCCGAACGUACCGGGUGCCGCAAUCCCGUGACGAAGUGUACACACUCGCCAUAUUUGACAAUCUAAAGUAAACGCCUAAAAAAGCAACAGUAUUUGCAUAUUAUCAAGUUGCAGACUACGGCACUUCCAUCAAGAACCCACCUGUAAUUGUU
Molecule: long non-coding RNA, 333 nt
Organism: Varroa destructor (honeybee mite)
Lineage: Eukaryota; Metazoa; Arthropoda; Arachnida; Mesostigmata; Varroidae
Source: RefSeq, a predicted model, not a curated record